RNAcentral lists this transfer RNA (72 nucleotides) under Marmota monax (woodchuck). RNAcentral describes it as "tRNA.Gly". The record is from RNAcentral. Lineage: Eukaryota; Metazoa; Chordata; Mammalia; Rodentia; Sciuridae.
GGGGUCAUGGCUCAGUGGCAGAGCACAUACCUCCCACGUAUGAGGCACUGGGUUUCGAUCCUCAGCACUGCA